UAGGGAAUCUUCCACAAUGGACGCAAGUCUGAUGGAGCAACGCCGCGUGAGUGAAGAAGGUUUUCGGACCGUAAAGCUCUGUUGUUGGUGAAGAAGGAUAGAGGUAGUAACUGGCCUUUAUUUGACGGUAAUCAACCAGAAAGUCACGGCUAACUACGUGCCAGCAGCCGCGGUAAUACGUAGGUGGCAAGCGUUGUCCGGAUUUAUUGGGCGUAAAGCGAGCGCAGGCGGAAGAAUAAGUCUGAUGUGAAAGCCCUCGGCUUAACCGAGGAAUUGCAUCGGAAACUGUUUUCUUGAGUGCAGAAGAGGAGAGUAGAACUCCAUGUGUAGCGGUGGAAUGCGUAGAUAUAUGGAAGAAUACCAGUGGCGAAGGCGGCUCUCUGGUCUGCAACUGACGCUGAGGCUCGAAAGCAUGGGUAGCGAACAGGAUUAGAUACCCUGGUAGUCCAUGCCGUAAACGAUGAGUGCUAAGUGUUG
Molecule: ribosomal RNA, 477 nt
Filed under: uncultured bacterium
Lineage: Bacteria
Description: partial 16S ribosomal RNA
Rfam family: Bacterial small subunit ribosomal RNA
Source: RNAcentral